AUGCUUCACCGCUCUGCUUCUCCCUCCAGAGGUCAAGAACACAGGAUCCUGCUGGAAAUGACAUUUUGGAUCUCCUUCACCAGUGGGACAGAUGGGCUGCCCUCACCAAGCCUCUCACAGAGCGGAGCUUUACUAGCCACUUGGUCGAUGCCGUCAUUGCAACAAAAACUCUUACCAAUUCACGAAAAUUUCAGGGACUCCGAAACUGGCAAGAAUUUCUGGGAAAUCACAGGGAAAUUUGUUGGCAACAUGAUUAAUCCUGGGUGGAUUAGUCCCGGAAAAACACAUGUGGGUGUGCAGCAAGCAGCAACUUGCAGAACUUCACAAAAUAAACCGUUCAGCAGAGAGGCCUUGCCGUACAAGUUUGGGGCUAGAGCUAGAGUGCGGGUGGGGCCUGGCCACUGAGGAAACGGUUACGGACCGCCUUUGAAUCCACUCGUAUUCAGAAGCCAGGGGCCGACGGGAUUAAAACACAGAAGCAGAGCACAACACUGAUGAGGAAAGCUCAGAGGGCUGUGGAGCCCGGGAGUAGGAUAAUUAAACUCAUCACCAUAAUUACCCCCAGCCCAGCUCCCCCACAAGAGCCCACAAGACAAGAGCCCGGCUCAGUGAAGUUAUUCAUCCACGUUCACGCUGCCUGGUCAUUGUCCUCCCACAAAAACCCCACAGGGCCUCGGCUCCCUGCCCAGCUCCACAGCCGGCCCAGGUGGAGCUUCUGUCUUGGGCAGCAGAGUUUCUAGCCCCAGACUUGGUUAUUCCGUCAGAUAACGUGCCACCUUUUCAGAGUACACUGUGACUUUUGGGUGAUAAUUACUGCUAACCCUUCCCUGGGAGAGACGGCAGCCCCCUGGCUGUCUUUCCUUAGAAGAGCUGGGCUCAGUUUGGGGACCUCCCACAGCUU
This 901-nucleotide long non-coding RNA is filed under the name Dasypus novemcinctus (nine-banded armadillo). RNAcentral's name for it is "lncRNA (ENSDNOG00000050384.1)". Lineage: Eukaryota; Metazoa; Chordata; Mammalia; Cingulata; Dasypodidae. The record is from RNAcentral.